CCUACGGGAGGCAGCAGUAGGGAAUAUUGCUCAAUGGGGGAAACCCUGAAGCAGCAACGCCGCGUGGAGGAUGAAGGUUUUCGGAUUGUAAACUCCUUUUGUUAGAGAAGAUAAUGACGGUAUCUAACGAAUAAGCACCGGCUAACUCCGGGCCAGCAGCCGCGGUAAUACGGAGGGUGCAAGCGUUACUCGGAAUCACUGGGGGGAAAGAGCGCGUAGGCGGGAUAGCAAGUCAGUUGUGAAAUCCUAUGGCUUAACCAUAGAACUGCAUUUGAAAAUGUUAGUCUAGAGUUUGGGAGGGGUAGGUGGAAUUCUUGGUGUAGGGGUAAAAUCCGUAGAGAUCAAGAGGAAUACUCAUUGCGAAGGCGACCUGCUAGAACAUAACUGACGCUGAUGCGCGAAAGCGUGGGGAGCAAACAGGAUUAGAUACCCUUGUAGUC
Molecule: ribosomal RNA, 440 nt
Filed under: uncultured bacterium
Lineage: Bacteria
Description: partial 16S ribosomal RNA
Rfam family: Bacterial small subunit ribosomal RNA
Source: RNAcentral